UACGAAGGGUGCAAACGUUGCUCGGAAUUAUUGGGCGUAAAGCGCACGUAGGCGGCUUUGCAAGUCGGGAUGUGAAAUCCCUCGGCUUAACCAAGGAAGUGCAUCCGAAACUGCAGAGCUUGAGUACUUAAGAGGAUCGCGGAAUUCCCGGUGUAGAGGUGAAAUUCGUAGAUAUCGGGAGGAACACCAGUGGCGAAGGCGGCGAUCUGGGAAGAUACUGACGCUGAGGUGCGAAAGCGUGGGGAGCGAACAGG
RNAcentral lists this ribosomal RNA (254 nucleotides) under uncultured bacterium. RNAcentral describes it as "partial 16S ribosomal RNA". It matches the Rfam family "Bacterial small subunit ribosomal RNA", at positions 524 to 776 of the family's 1533-position model. The record is from RNAcentral.